AACUGCUUCGCCGAGCGCAGCUGGAUACGACCGUAGAGGUCCAACCCUGAACAGUUGGGGCAAAAAUGGACACUAUAUUAAUAAAUAAUAAAUAAUUCACCAAAGUUUCAUGCGAACUACUUAAAAGUAUUUUUGAGUUAUUGUCCAAAAACUGGAAAAUCCUCCCUUUUUUAAUGAAUAAAACCCCAUAACUCAGAAAUGUAAAAUCUAAAAUUUAUAAAAUUCUAAAGGGAGCUUACAUCAACAGAUAUUAACAAUUCACCAAAGUUUCAUUAGAACUGCUGAAAGCAUCUUUUAGUUAUUGUCUGAAAACUGGAAAUUCCCCCUCUUUUAUGAAUAAAACCCUGUAACUCAUAAACGUAAAAUCUAAAAUUUAUAACUAUCGAAAGGGAGCUCAUGUCAAUAGAUAUAUACAAUUCACCAAAAUUUCUUGCAAGUUGGUGACAGCAUUCUUGAGUUAUUGUCGGAAAACUGGAAAAUCCCCCCUUUUUUAAUGAAUAAAACCCCAAAACUCAGAAACGGUAAAUCUGAAAUUUAUAAAAAAUGAAAGGGAGCUCACGUCAAUAGAUAUAAACAAUUCACCAAAGUUUCAUGCAUAUUAUUUAAAGUGUUUUUAGUAAAUGUCCAACAUGCUGACGACAGACGGAUGGACUGACAACGGUAUACCGUAAUACGUCCCGUAAACGGGCAUAUAAAAAUCAGUUGAAAAGGGCUUAACUCAUCAGAUCGAAACAAAGCAGAAAUACACAGACCGGACGUGGCAGGGUACUUAUACAUCCCCACAACAAAAAAGACACUAAGUACAGAUCUGAGAGUACUCACAGUCACUGACAGCUAGUUCAAAGCCAAUAACUAAUAAAAAAAUCAUGCAUCUAAGACUGAAAUAUCAAUCAGUAUACAUCCAACCCCAUUUCUUACAUAAUUAUAUUUUACAUUGAAAUAUUAAAAGCGACAUUAAUAAAUCAACAAUAAUGGUGUAGCAUUUUUCUAGUGUCAUAUUUGCAUCUGUUCUCUCUAAAAUUGUAAUUUAAAAAAAAACUUAAUUUACAAUUCACCUUGACAAGAACUGGUUAGGCAUUUUCAUUUCUGGGGAUACAAUGUAUAAUAAGAGUUUAUCACAACAGUUUUUAUUUUAAUACAAACACUUAAAAAGCCAUACAAAUGGUUAUCAAAAACAAGGUAAAAGUGAAGUGUAAUAUACCGGUAUAAAUAAAAAUAUCUGCAGAUUCAAGUACAU
Mytilus californianus (California mussel) is the source of this 1237-nucleotide long non-coding RNA. RefSeq lists it as uncharacterized. The transcript has 2 exons. The record is from RefSeq and is a predicted model, not a curated record. NCBI's taxonomy places the organism in Eukaryota, Metazoa, Mollusca, Bivalvia, Mytilida, Mytilidae.